Molecule: long non-coding RNA, 621 nt
Organism: Lathyrus oleraceus (garden pea)
Lineage: Eukaryota; Viridiplantae; Streptophyta; Magnoliopsida; Fabales; Fabaceae
Exons: 2
Source: RefSeq, a predicted model, not a curated record
CUCAAGAUAGUAUAGAUCCUAAAUAUUAUCUAAUUUCAAAAUUAAAUGGUCGUCUUCAUGCAUUAAACCAAAUCGAUGAUCAAAGCUACAUGCUCGUAUCAUGAAAACAAGAAAACGAUGGAGAAAUGUGCCAAAUCAGAAUUAUGCUAUGAUGAAAAAUUCAACGAAAAUCUCCAAAUUUCGACGAAGCUCAAUUUUCAGUGGCUUUAUAUAGCAAUAAGAGUGAGGUCAGAAACAUGUGAAGUCAAAAAAUUUGCGUGGUAAUGUAUGUAUGUGGAUGUGUAAUGCUAUGGAUGAGUCAUUUUGAUGGAAUGUAAUGAAUUAUUGCUGCUUCAUUCAGUUUUGAUUUUCUGCUUACUUUAAUUCAUUUGCUUUGUUUUUCCUUUUGGUUUAUGUUGAUUUUGGAACGUUGACGAUCAUGGAAAGCUGGAUGUAAUGGAUUUAGUUUAUAUUGAAUUUAUGGAUGAUGACAAUGUUCUUGUAUGAGUGUAAUGUGUGUGAAAUUGAAUUUGAAUGAUCUUGUGAAUUAGACAUGGUCAUUGACUUUGUUUUGGUUUAUGUUAUAUGAUGAUGAUGAUGUAGUUUAAACUUGAAUUUAAAUGAUGAGGGUGAUAUUGUAUU